RNAcentral lists this ribosomal RNA (464 nucleotides) under uncultured bacterium. RNAcentral describes it as "partial 16S ribosomal RNA". It matches the Rfam family "Bacterial small subunit ribosomal RNA", at positions 28 to 506 of the family's 1533-position model. The record is from RNAcentral.
GACGAACGCUGGCGGCGUGCUUAACACAUGCAAGUCGUACGGUAAGGCCCUUUCGGGGGUACACGAGUGGCGAACGGGUGAGUAACACGUGAGUAACCUGCCCACAACUUUGGGAUAACGCUAGGAAACUGGUGCUAAUACUGGAUAUGUGCUCCUGCUGCAUGGUGGGGGUUGGAAAGCUCCGGCGGUUGUGGAUGGACUCGCGGCCUAUCAGCUUGUUGGUGGGGUAGUGGCCUACCAAGGCGGCGACGGGUAGCCGGCCUGAGAGGGUGACCGGCCACAUGGGGACUGAGAGACGGCCCAGACUCCUACGGGAGGCAGCAGUGGGGAAUAUUGCACAAUGGGCGCAAGCCUGAUGCAGCAGCGCCGCGUGCGGGAUGACGGCCUUCGGGUUGUAAACCGCUUUCAGCAGGGACGAAGCUUUUUGUGACGGUACCUGAAGAAGAAGCACCGGCUAACUACGU